Osmia lignaria (orchard mason bee) is the source of this 398-nucleotide long non-coding RNA. RefSeq lists it as uncharacterized. The record is from RefSeq and is a predicted model, not a curated record. Lineage: Eukaryota; Metazoa; Arthropoda; Insecta; Hymenoptera; Megachilidae.
UGAAUUCCAAGUAGACAGAGAACGAAGCUGGAACCUGCAGCCGUAGUGUCGUGCCCCUGGAGAAUACAUACAGUAUUAUUACAAAUAUUUUCGUGGUACUAUUUUUACUAAAAAUUGUACACUAACAUGAGCAGCAAAUGUUCAAAUCUGUAUAUUUGUGACGAACGUUUAUAAAUUAUUGCAUUGAAAAUAGUGUAAAAUUGAAGAGUAUUCAGUUUUAAAUAAAAAUAUAUGAUCCUUUUGAGCACAGGAAAUUAAAUUUUAAAACAUAUAGUAUUUAAAUGAGAAAAGAAAAUAAGUACACUUGCGAUUAAAUCAAGCUUCCCCAGGAAAGAUGGCGAUGCCCUGGAUUCUUGAACUUUUCCCAUAGGCAUCCCCGGAGAAAAUGACGAUGUACC